This 445-nucleotide ribosomal RNA is filed under the name uncultured bacterium. Its description in RNAcentral is "bacterial SSU rRNA". It matches the Rfam family "Bacterial small subunit ribosomal RNA", at positions 354 to 796 of the family's 1533-position model. The record is from RNAcentral.
GUGAGGAAUAUUGCGCAAUGGAGGCAACUCUGACGCAGCCAUGCCGCGUGCAGGAAGAAGGCGCUACGCGUUGUAAACUGCUUUUAACCGGGAAGAAACCCCAGGACGUGUCCUGGGUUGACGGUACCGGAGGAAUAAGCACCGGCUAACUUCGUGCCAGCAGCCGCGGUAAUACGAAGGGUGCAAGCGUUAUCCGGAUUCAUUGGGUUUAAAGGGUGCGUAGGCGGAGCGUUAAGUCAGUGGUGAAAUCCUGCAGCUUAACUGUAGACUUGCCAUUGAUACUGGCGCUCUUGAGUGCGCUUGAAGUGGGCGGAAUGUGCCGUGUAGCAGUGAAAUGCUUAGAUAUGGCACAGAACACCAAUUGCGAAGGCAGCUCACUAAGGCGAUACUGACGCUGAGGCACGAAAGCGUGGGGAUCGAACAGGAUUAGAAACCCUUGUAGUCC